Molecule: ribosomal RNA, 483 nt
Filed under: uncultured bacterium
Lineage: Bacteria
Description: partial 16S ribosomal RNA
Rfam family: Bacterial small subunit ribosomal RNA
Source: RNAcentral
GACGAACGCUGGCGGCGUGCUUAACACAUGCAAGUCGAAUGAUGAAGCUGGAGCCUGCUCCGGUGGAUUAGUGGCGAACGGGUGAGUAACACGUGAGCAAUCUGCCCUUGACUCUGGGAUAACUGCGGGAAACUGUAGCUAAUACCGGAUACGAGAUUUGGAGGCAUCUCCGGAUCUGGAAAGAAUUUCGGUCAAGGAUGAGCUCGCGGCCUAUCAGCUUGUUGGUGAGGUAAUGGCUCACCAAGGCGACGACGGGUAGCCGGCCUGAGAGGGUGACCGGCCACACUGGGACUGAGACACGGCCCAGACUCCUACGGGAGGCAGCAGUGGGGAAUAUUGCACAAUGGGCGAAAGCCUGAUGCAGCAACGCCGCGUGAGGGAUGAAGGCCUUCGGGUUGUAAACCUCUUUUAGCAGGGAAGAAGCGAAAGUGACGGUACCUACAGAAAAAGCACCGGCUAACUACGUGCCAGCCGCCGCGGUAA